This 215-nucleotide ribosomal RNA is filed under the name Klebsiella pneumoniae. RNAcentral describes it as "partial 16S ribosomal RNA". It matches the Rfam family "Bacterial small subunit ribosomal RNA", at positions 1 to 216 of the family's 1533-position model. The record is from RNAcentral. Lineage: Bacteria; Pseudomonadati; Pseudomonadota; Gammaproteobacteria; Enterobacterales; Enterobacteriaceae. RNAcentral also lists the same sequence under 3 other names.
AAAUUGAAGAGUUUGAUCAUGGCUCAGAUUGAACGCUGGCGGCAGGCCUAACACAUGCAAGUCGAACGGUAGCACAGAGAGCUUGCUCUCGGGUGACGAGUGGCGGACGGGUGAGUAAUGUCUGGGAAACUGCCUGAUGGAGGGGGAUAACUACUGGAAACGGUAGCUAAUACCGCAUAACGUCGCAAGACCAAAGAGGGGGACCUUCGGGCCUC